Molecule: ribosomal RNA, 498 nt
Filed under: uncultured bacterium
Lineage: Bacteria
Description: partial 16S ribosomal RNA
Rfam family: Bacterial small subunit ribosomal RNA
Source: RNAcentral
AGCGAACGCUGGCGGCGUGCCUAACACAUGCAAGUCGAACGUGAAAAGGGAAACCUGAGUAAAGUGGCGUACGGGUGAGUAACGCGUAGGUAAUCUACCCCAGAAUCUGGAAUAACCUGCCGAAAGGCGGGCUAAUACUGGAUAGAGCGAGGGAACUCGUAAGAGAGUUUUUCGGGAAAGGGAGCCCGCAAGGGCCUUCGUUCUGGGAUGAGCCUGCGUCUCAUUAGCUAGUUGGUAAGGUAACGGCUUACCAAGGCGAUGAUGAGUAGCUGGUCUGAGAGGAUGAUCAGCCACACUGGAACUGAAACACGGUCCAGACUCCUACGGGAGGCAGCAGUGGGGAAUCUUGCGCAAUGGACGAAAGUCUGACGCAGCCACGCCGCGUGAGUGAAGAAGGCCUUCGGGUUGUAAAGCUCUGUCGGGUGGGACGAACAUCUUCAUAGUGAAUAGCUAUGAGGACUGACGGUACCAUCAAAGGAAGCACCGGCUAACUCCGUG